Molecule: ribosomal RNA, 376 nt
Filed under: uncultured bacterium
Lineage: Bacteria
Description: bacterial SSU rRNA
Rfam family: Bacterial small subunit ribosomal RNA
Source: RNAcentral
AUUGAACGCUGGCGGCAGGCCUAACACAUGCAAGUCGAGCGGGGUUUUCGGACCUAGCGGCGGACGGGUGAGUAAUGCGUAGGAAGCUACCCGAUAGAGGGGGAUACCAGUUGGAAACGACUGUUAAUACCGCAUAAUGUCUACGGACCAAAGUGUGGGACCUUCGGGCCACAUGCUAUCGGAUGCGCCUACGUGGGAUUAGCUAGUUGGUGAGGUAAUGGCUCACCAAGGCGACGAUCUCUAGCUGGUUUGAGAGGAUGAUCAGCCACACUGGAACUGAGACACGGUCCAGACUCCUACGGGAGGCAGCAGGUGGGGAAUAUUGGACAAUGGGCGCAAGCCUGAUCCAGCCAUGCCGCGUGUGUGAAGAAGGCUC